Molecule: ribosomal RNA, 465 nt
Filed under: uncultured bacterium
Lineage: Bacteria
Description: bacterial SSU rRNA
Rfam family: Bacterial small subunit ribosomal RNA
Source: RNAcentral
CCUACGGGACGCAGCAGUGGGGAAUAUUGCACAAUGGGCGCAAGCCUGAUGCAGCCAUGCCGCGUGUAUGAAGAAGGCCUUCGGGUUGUAAAGUACUUUCAGCGGGGAGGAAGGCGAUAAGGUUAAUAACCUUGUCGAUUGACGUUACCCGCAGAAGAAGCACCGGCUAACUCCGUGCCAGCAGCCGCGGUAAUACGGAGGGUGCAAGCGUUAAUCGGAAUUACUGGGCGUAAAGCGCACGCAGGCGGUCUGUCAAGUCGGAUGUGAAAUCCCCGGGCUCAACCUGGGAACUGCAUUCGAAACUGGCAGGCUAGAGUCUUGUAGAGGGGUGUAGAAUUCCAGGUGUAGCGGUGAAAGGCGUAGAGAUCUGGAGGAAUACCGGUGGCGAAGGCGGCCCCCUGGACAAAGACUGACGCUCAGGUGCGAAAGCGUGGGGAGCAGAUAGGAUUAGAUACCCCCGUAGUC